Molecule: ribosomal RNA, 2346 nt
Filed under: Triticum aestivum (bread wheat)
Lineage: Eukaryota; Viridiplantae; Streptophyta; Magnoliopsida; Poales; Poaceae
Description: partial small subunit ribosomal RNA
Source: RNAcentral
AUGGAGAAGUCUAAACAUGGGAAGAGGAAUAACCGUGAGGACGGGAGCACGGGCAGAGGGCAUGGAAAGGGCCGCCCUUCGGGCAGUUCGAUGAAGAUGAACCCCGGGGGCAUGAAGAAUGAGAACGCAUUGCAGCCCCCCAAUGCUUCAACCUCAGCGAUGAAUGUUAUUAGGAAAAAGGUCGAUCCUGAAACUGCUAAAUACUUCCUCGAGAUAUCGAAUCUCUUUGAUAACAAGGAGAUAGACUUGGAGGACCGUUCGACGAUCUGCGCCAAUGCUUUGGAAGAAACCAAAGGGAAAGAGCUCGAACUUGUCACUGAUGGUGUAAUAAGCCACACCUUGCAGAUUCUUGUACAAGGUUGCGAGUUGGAGCAGUUAUGCAUGUUCCUCCGCAGCUGUAUUCAGUCUUUUGCUGUUAUUGCCAUGGACAAAUUUGGAUCGCAUGUGGCUGAAGCAGCCCUCAAGGCACUGGCAACACAUCUUGAAGACGACACCUCCAGGGUCAUUGUGGAAGAGAUACUGAAUAGGAUUUGCAAGGUUAUUGCUGCAGAUGCUACAAAUGUGAUGUGCAGCUGCUAUGGAUCUCAUGUUCUAAGGACACUUCUCUGUCUUUGUAAGGGCGUACCGUUCGAUUCAUUGCAAGAUUUCCACAUGACAAAGAGAUCUGCUGUUCUGGCUGAACGAUUGAGCGGUGGUUCAAGUAGACCAGGCGACCAGAAUCUAACAAGCUUUCAACAUGGUUUCCCAGACAUGUUCAAAACUUUUGUCAGGCAAAUGCUACAAAAUGCAAAAAAUGACAUUUCAACAUUACUAACUGAGAAGAACAGUAGCCUUGUUUUACAGACUGUGUUGAAACUAUCAGCUGGUGAUGAUGAUGAAUUGAAUCAUAUAAUAGCGGUUCUUCUUGGUUAUGACGAGGAUGACACUGCUCAGAAGAAAGAUUACAGUGAACAAAAGAAUAAGAUAGUUGCCUUACUUGAAGAUACUGCUUACAGUCAUCUCUUGGAGGUCAUUAUAGAUGUUGCUCCUGAGGAACUACGCAGCAAUAUGCUUAUAGGCACUCUCAAGGGUGCACUAUUUGCAAUCUCGUCUCACCACUGUGGUAACUAUGUGGUACAAGCUUUAAUAUCAUCAGCCAAAACUGCAGAUCAGAUGAAGCAAAUAUGGGAGGAACUUGGUCCUAAUAUCAAGGAGUUGCUUGAGCUAGGUAAAUCAGGAGUGGUGGCUUCCAUUUUAGCUGCAUGCCAGCGACUUGAAACAAAUCGCCUGGAGAUCUCUGAAGCUCUUUCUGCAGCAUUAACUUCAGAUUCCGAGCCUUCUGAUAGCAUUGUUGCACAUAUACUUUUUCUUGAGAAUUUCCUCCGCGAGAAAUCUUAUUGGAAAUGGCCGCUUGGUGUAAAGAUGAGUGUUCUUGGUUGCCUGAUGCUGCAAUCAAUUUUUCAAUACCCACAUCAAUAUAUUCGGCAGUAUGUUGCAAGUUUGCUGGCUUUGGACAAUGAUCAGAUCCUGCAGAUUGCCAAGGACCCUGGAGGCAGCCGUGUUCUUGAGGCAUUUUUAUGUUCAAGUGCAACAACAAAGCGAAAAUUUAAAGUUUUUGCAAAAUUGCAAGGCCAUUACGGGGAGAUUGCUAUGAAUCCUUCUGGCUCAUUCUUGGUAGAAGAAUGCUUUACAGCGAGUAAUUUUUCCCAUAAAGAGGCCAUUGUGUCAGAGCUGUUGGCUAUGCAAAAUGAACUAUCUCGGACAAGACAUGCCAUCCACUUGUUAAAGAAACUGGAUGUUGAUAGAUACUCAAGACGACCCGACCAGUGGAGAGCUGCGCAAACUUCGAAAGAAACAACUCAGAGAGAAUUUCAAGCCGAAUUUGGCCUGAACAACAGUAAACCUGUUGGCCAGAGUAUCGAGGAGCUGUUUUCUCCCCAAAGCCCUGCAAAGAAGCGUAAACAGAAAGAGAAGACCGACAAAACUACUACUGCGGAUGCCGGCACCACCAAGCCAGAAUCAUUUCAGAAAAACACCAAGGGCCAGAAAUCCGCCAAGGCAAUGUCCGAGGGAGAAUCGAGCAGCAAGAAGCCCGUGAGCAUGCCAUUCUUGAAUGACGGUGGCAAGAGGAAAUCGCCAGGUUUCCUAUCGGACAAACCGAUUCCCAAGAAACAGAAACACGAGAGACCCUCAGAUGGCAGGCGGUUUGUCGGGGAUGGCAGCAGCGUUGGCACACCGUUUGUCAGGCAUAAUGUCAAGCAGAAACAGUCCAUCGCCGAGCUUGCUGCUCUGGCUGGUAAGGAUAAACUGACCGCAGGGGAGGUCCGGAAGCUGCUCAAGCCCGAAAUUUCAGCCAAGGGCGCCUAA